RNAcentral lists this ribosomal RNA (494 nucleotides) under uncultured bacterium. RNAcentral's name for it is "bacterial SSU rRNA". It matches the Rfam family "Bacterial small subunit ribosomal RNA", at positions 16 to 523 of the family's 1533-position model. The record is from RNAcentral.
AUCCUGGCUCAGGAUGAACGCUGCGGCGUGCUUAACACAUGCAAGUCGAACGAAGAGAGAUUAGCUUGCUAAUUGAACUUAGUGGCGGACGGUGAGUAACGUGUGGGCAACCUACCUUAUACAGGGGAAUAAUCACUGGAAACGGUGACUAAUACCGCAUAAUAUUGCGAUAAGGCAUCUUAUUGCAAAGAAAGGAGCAAUCCGGUAAAAGAUGGGCCCGCAUCUGAUUAGCUAGUUGGUGAGAUAACAGCCCACCAAGGCAACGAUCAGUAGCCGACCUGAGAGGGUGAACGGCCACAUUGGGACUGAGACACGGCCCAAACUCCGUACGGGAGGCAGCAGGUGGGGAAUAUUGCACAAUGGGGGAAACUCUGAUGCAGUGACGCCGCGUGCAGGAAGAAGGUUUUCGGAUUGUAAACUGCUUUAGACAGGGAAGAAAAAGACAGUACCUGUAGAAUAAGCUCCGGCUAACUACGUGCCAGCAGCCGCGGUAA